Molecule: ribosomal RNA, 483 nt
Filed under: Ralstonia sp.
Lineage: Bacteria; Pseudomonadati; Pseudomonadota; Betaproteobacteria; Burkholderiales; Burkholderiaceae
Description: bacterial SSU rRNA
Rfam family: Bacterial small subunit ribosomal RNA
Source: RNAcentral
CUGAUCCAGCAUGCCGCGUGUGUGAAGAAGGCCUUCGGGUUGUAAAGCACUUUUGUCCGGAAAGAAAUGGCUCUGGUUAAUACCCGGAGUCGAUGACGGUACCGGAAGAAUAAGGACCGGCUAACUACGUGCCAGCAGCCGCGGUAAUACGUAGGGUCCAAGCGUUAAUCGGAAUUACUGGGCGUAAAGCGUGCGCAGGCGGUUGUGCAAGACCGAUGUGAAAUCCCCGGGCUUAACCUGGGAAUUGCAUUGGUGACUGCACGGCUAGAGUGUGUCAGAGGGAGGUAGAAUUCCACGUGUAGCAGUGAAAUGCGUAGAGAUGUGGAGGAAUACCGAUGGCGAAGGCAGCCUCCUGGGAUAACACUGACGCUCAUGCACGAAAGCGUGGGGAGCAAACAGGAUUAGAUACCCUGGUAGUCCACGCCCUAAACGAUGUCAACUAGUUGUUGGGGAUUCAUUUCCUUAGUAACGUAGCUAACGCGU